AUUGAACGCUGGCGGCAGGCCUAACACAUGCAAGUCGAACGGUAACAGGAAGAAGCUUGCUUCUUUGCUGACGAGUGGCGGACGGGUGAGUAAUGUCUGGGAAACUGCCUGAUGGAGGGGGAUAACUACUGGAAACGGUAGCUAAUACCGCAUAACGUCGCAAGCCCAAAAAGGGGGACCUUCGGGCCUCUUGCCAUCGGAUGUGCCCAGAUGGGAUUAGCUAGUAGGUGGGGUAACGGCUCACCUAGGCGACGAUCCCUAGCUGGUCUGAGAGGAUGACCGGCCACACUGGAACUGAGACACGGUCCAGACUCCUACGGGAGGCAGCAGUGGGGAAUAUUGCACAAUGGGCGAAAGCCUGAUGCAGCCAUGCCGCGUGUAUGAAGAAGGCCUUCGGGUUGUAAAGUACUUUCAGCGGGGAGGAAGGGAGUAAAGUUAAUACCUUUGCUCAUUGACGUUACCUGCAGAAGAAGCACCGGCUAACUCCGUG
RNAcentral lists this ribosomal RNA (490 nucleotides) under uncultured bacterium. RNAcentral's name for it is "partial 16S ribosomal RNA". It matches the Rfam family "Bacterial small subunit ribosomal RNA", at positions 30 to 507 of the family's 1533-position model. The record is from RNAcentral.